CCUACGGGUGGCAGCAGUGGGGAAUAUUGGACAAUGGGCGAAAGCCUGAUCCAGCCAUGCCGCGUGUGUGAAGAAGGCCUUCGGGUUGUAAAGCACUUUCAGUGGGGAAGAAAGCCUUUAGGCUAAUACCCUCGAGGAAGGACAUCACCCACAGAAGAAGCACCGGCUAACUCCGUGCCAGCAGCCGCGGUAAUACGGAGGGUGCGAGCGUUAAUCGGAAUUACUGGGCGUAAAGCGCGCGUAGGCGGUCUGAUAAGCCGGUUGUGAAAGCCCCGGGCUCAACCUGGGAACGGCAUCCGGAACUGUCAGGCUAGAGUGCAGGAGAGGAAGGUAGAAUUCCCGGUGUAGCGGUGAAAUGCGUAGAGAUCGGGAGGAAUACCAGUGGCGAAGGCGGCCUUCUGGACUGACACUGACGCUGAGGUGCGAAAGCGUGGGUAGCAAACAGGAUUAGAUACCCGAGUAGUC
Molecule: ribosomal RNA, 465 nt
Filed under: Vreelandella stevensii
Lineage: Bacteria; Pseudomonadati; Pseudomonadota; Gammaproteobacteria; Oceanospirillales; Halomonadaceae
Description: partial 16S ribosomal RNA
Rfam family: Bacterial small subunit ribosomal RNA
Source: RNAcentral